RNAcentral lists this small RNA (562 nucleotides) under Pongo abelii (Sumatran orangutan). RNAcentral describes it as "retained intron". The record is from RNAcentral. Lineage: Eukaryota; Metazoa; Chordata; Mammalia; Primates; Hominidae.
CUGAGCAAAUCAUACAGACUUUCCUCAACAUGUUUACCAGAGAGCAGUUAGCCGAGAGCAUCCUCCACGAGGGCAGCACGGGCUGUCGGGUGGUGGAGAAGUUUCUGAAGAUCCUGCAGGUGGUGGUCCAGGAGCCAGGCCAGGUGUUCAAGCCCUUUCUCCCCAGCAUCAUCGCCCUGUGCAUGGAGCAAGUGUAUCCCAUCAUUGCCGAGGUAGGGGCUCAGGCGGUCCCCUGUGCGGCACCCCCAUCUCGAGAUUGGGAAGGGAAUGAGAUUUCGCAGAAAAUGCAUUGUGUUUUAAAGUUCAUUUGUUAGUUUAAUAUGCUUAUAAAGUAGUUUCUCCCAAGGAAGAAGGCCUUUAGUGUGGUACAGUGUUUUUAUAUUGAUCGAGUUCACUGGAGCUGGUCUAGUGUCAGCAUAGCAGUUAUUCCACAGGGUCAGUUGCUAAGAUCAGGCUCCUGCGGCAAAUUUUAUACCUUUAAGAGACUCUGGUUUUCUGUAGCAAACAUUCUAACAUAUGCACUUUCCUAUUAGAAACUUUCAUGGUCUCGAGGAUACAAGGC